AUUGAUCUGUUCAUAAGAAUUCAGCCUAAUAUCCGAAGAAUAAAUUGGCAAAAGUUAAUUUUUGGUGUUAAAAAAAAGUCAAAACAAUAAUUAGUCACUAGCACAAUAGAAAUUUGAUAUCUUGACAUAACACCAACUAUUUUAGAUUUUAUAUGUGUGAGCAAAAACAUAGUUGAUUCAUGUAAAAAGUUAUAGCUUUUAAUAUUGCAUUGAAUAUGUCUCCAUGAUGGAUAAAAAAGCAAUUAGAAUUAACUGAGAAAACAUGCCAUGGGGAACUUGACUUUGGAAAAGGACCACAUAAGAAAUUGGCAAGAAUGAAUGGGAAGUAUUAUUAUUUUUAUUUCCUUUUUCAUGCUACCUAUCUUUUUUCUAAUGCAGUUAGCAACAAUCUCACCUGUCUUCUUUUUUAGAAUAUUUCUCUUUGGAAAGAUAUAAAUUUGUGUUGGGAUACAAUUUUGCUUUUGGCUUCUUCCAAACAUUUUUGUCAUAUAAGUUAUUUUUGUACUAUGAAAUUGUGAGUGCUGUGAAAGUAAGUGGAGUAUGAACCUUAUUUCGUUUCUUAAUUCUUCAAUUAUAAUAAUAAUACGUUUUACUUAAGAUUUGGUCGGUUAAAUUUUUUAUUUUUUAAAAAAUUUGUUUUUAAAAUAUAACUUUUAAAUAUUUAAAAUAAAUUUAAUUUUAUUCUUCUAAUUAAUACCUCUUUUGUUCAUAUGUAACUUUUGUUCAUUAGAUAUCUCUUUUGGUCAUGGAUAAUGAUUCAUAUGUAACUUUUGUUCAUGGGAUACAAGAGAAUAGUCCAUUGUUUAAAUAUACGACAUUUUCACUUUUAGAUAAUUUAUACCUCAGUUAAUAAACUCUUUUUGCCUUGUAACUUACAAUUCAAUUUAGGUUGAUGCCUAUUUAUAGCUACUAUCAUAGAUGCCAAGUUAAAAAUGGAAGCAUUAGCAAUUUUGUAUCCUAUGAUCAUACACAUUUUCUUAGAUUUGUAUUUUCUGUAGAUAUCCAUCAUAUUGUGGAUCAAAUAUAUGGCCCAGCAGUGCACUACCAGAACUCGAAGUGGGUAUGGCCUGAAUCCCGAACAGAUUUUGCAUUUAUAGUCUUUGUUUUCUGAUGCCUAGGUUUAUAGGUUGAUGUGUUCAUAUAAAUUUUUCUUUCCUGUGAUUUUAUCUGAAUGAAUGCAUAGAUAAUUUGAAGAAUAUGAGCUGUGUACAUGCAGCAAGCAACUUAUGUAUUCUCAUUUGUUUUUAUUUAUCUUUUGCAGGAUUUUUUAAUGGGUGUGUGACUCCCUUUAAAUAUACAGCAAAUGUAUCUUCUUUAGAUAAUUUCUUAAUUUCUAAAUAGUAUUAAGUGGUGCUCAUUUUAUUUUAUUUAUCAAAUUAAGUGGUUGUUAUAAUUCAUUUGGUUCAAAACAAGGGUAUUAUGAUUUUUCUAACUUGAGAGUCUACUAAUUGUGUAAAUUCAAAAUAAUUAAAGAAAAACGAGGAGGAACUGAAACUAAAAGCUCUUAUUUACUACAAUAUUGGUUAAUUAGUUAUGAAUUCUGUUUAGGUUUUUUUUAAAUGCUUUCUCUCACUUUCUAGUCUCUAGGUAUUCUACAUAAUUAAUAAUUUUUAUCAAUCCUGUGAUUCUGGUUUAUAAUAAUUUAGGAACCAAGCAAGACUACAGAAAAAUUUAAUGUACCUAGCAGCAAUAGCUGAUUCUCAAUUCCAUGAAUUUCAGGAAUCAACAAUUGGGAUAGCAUUCUGUUACCAUUUUCAUGCUCUGAGGUGGUGAGUUGCAGGUGCCUCCUAUUUACAUAAACAUGGGAAUUUCGUUAGUUUCUUCUACACUAUUCCACUCCUCUUCUAACGGUGUUUUCACUAGCAUGGAGUUUAUCAGGACUGAGCUAUCAGCUUCAAAAUUGUAUUCUCUUGGUCUCAAGGUGUUACAUGCUUAUAGUUUUUAACUGAAAUAUUUAUGACUUAAUUUUGGUAUGGCUUAAUUUUCUGAUAUGUGUUGACCAACAAGCAUGUCUGGGAGAUUAACAACUCCUCAAAACUGGACUUAGAAUGCUAUGACUCUAAAACAUUUAAUGCUGGAAAUUGAGUGGUACAACAAUCACCCUGCUUUGUUUCUAAUAUAUGCUUCCAAAGUGUAUCUGAAGUUUUGCUUUGAAAUUUACUUACUUUAGUCAUAAUGUUGUUUCUUGCAGGAAGAUAAAACUAUAUCCCAAAGGAAAUGGCCCUGGAUUUGGCAGUCAUCUUUCUUUAUAUUUAGCCUUAUCUAACCCAUCAACACUCUCUUCCGUUUCAAAAAUAUAUGCACUGAUAACAUUACGCAUACUUGACCAAAAGCAAGCCAAGCAUCACUUUGAAAAAGAUGAACUUGGUUGACUGGUUUAAGGAAAUGGUAAUGAGUCGUCGCAGCGAUGAACUAGUCAAGCAGAUAAAUACAUUUUUCUAAGAUUAGUAUAAGAACUAAGUUUUUUAUGUACAUGGUAUCACUUUUUCUUUUCUUUUUUAUAUGGAAUGUUUAUAGAGUUUAAGUGCUAUAAGUAUUUUUUUUCUUUUUCCAUUUUAUUUGCAUCACGAAGCAAAUUUGUACAAUGAUUAUUGAUUAAUGAAA
Arachis duranensis is the source of this 2604-nucleotide long non-coding RNA. RefSeq lists it as uncharacterized. The transcript is spliced from 4 exons. NCBI's taxonomy places the organism in Eukaryota, Viridiplantae, Streptophyta, Magnoliopsida, Fabales, Fabaceae. The record is from RefSeq and is a predicted model, not a curated record.